Molecule: ribosomal RNA, 440 nt
Filed under: Coleoptera sp. 17 KM-2017
Lineage: Eukaryota; Metazoa; Arthropoda; Insecta; Coleoptera
Description: partial 12S ribosomal RNA
Source: RNAcentral
AGAUACCCUAUUAUUUAAAAUGUAAUUAUUUAUUAAAAUUAUUAAUAGUUAUAGUCUUUAAAGUUAAAAAUUUUGGCGGUAUUUUAGUCUUUUCAGAGGAACCUGUUUUAUAAUUGAUAGUCCACAAUCUAAUAAACUUAAUUUUUAAAUUUUUAUAUCGUUGUGGUAUGAAUAUUUUAUAAGAAUAAAAAUAUUCAAUUUUUAGGUAAAAUAAGAAUUCAAAUCAAGGUGAAGUUUAUAAUUAAGAAAAAAUGGGUUACAAUAAAUUUAGUUUUAGUUUUAUAAUUUAAAAAUAUAAAUAAAUUGGAUUUGAAAGUAAUUUUUAUAAUUUUAGAAAAUGAUUAAGCUCUAAAAUAUGCACAUAUUGCCCGUCGCUUUCAUUUAAAAUGAAAUAAGUCGUAACAAAGUAGAUUUAUUGGAAAAUGAAUCUAGAUUAAUCA